Molecule: long non-coding RNA, 3108 nt
Organism: Phyllostomus discolor (pale spear-nosed bat)
Lineage: Eukaryota; Metazoa; Chordata; Mammalia; Chiroptera; Phyllostomidae
Exons: 2
Source: RefSeq, a predicted model, not a curated record
UCUCUUUCUCCCUCCCUUCUCUUCUCUCUAAAAAUAAAUAAAUAAAAUCUUAAAAAAAAAAAAGAAUCAAAGGAAACUCUGGGCUUGCUAACUAAACCACAGGUGUAGGAACAGUAUUAUUCAAAGUUAUCCCACCAUAUACCAAUGUUAUAGAUUAUCUGCAUCUGGUUCAUAAACAACUGGUCAGCAAUACUACUGGAUAGAAAGACAUCUACUGGUGAACCACAACUUUGUGACAUCAACUACUCUUCAGAGACACUACAGAAAUUAAAGUAUGAAAUCCUACCAGGGUGGAAAUAAUUUACCUAUUUUAUACGAUUCUGUGAAGAAUGUAUGAUAGCUAUAAUUGUUGUAAUAAAAGGGCCAAAUCAGCAUGUUCUAUCCAACUUAUAUUUCUAAUAAUAAAAAAAUGAAGAUUGUUCCUGGGGGUAAUAAAUAUUAAUCACAACUUACUGUAAAGAAGCUAAUUUAUUCGGGACUACUAUAUGAUAUCAAUUUAAGAUACACUAAAAUAUUCCAUUUGUAAAUUUUUAGUGGCCUUCUGAAUUAAGUCUCCAACUUAAUGGUAUACUGGGCCCACAAAGGUGUCCACAUCCUAAUGUUCAGAAUUUGUGAAUUCACUACCUUUCAGGACACAAAGAAGUUUGCCAGUGUGACUAAAUUAAGACUCUUUUUCACGGGAGAUUAUCCUACAUUAUCUUGUUUGGACCAAUGCGAUUACAAGGGUCCUGGUAAGAGAGAACGGGGUGUGAUAAAAGGACAGGAUAAUUGUCAGAGAGAAAUCUAAAGAUGCUGCAAUGCUGGCAUGAAGAUGGAGAAAGAACCCACGAGCUACAAGGGUGACGGCCGGCUCUAGAAGCUAGAAUGUGGAAGGACAUGAGCUCUCCCCUAGAGCCUCCAGAAGGAACACAGGCAUGCCAACACCUUGAUUUUGAUCCCCACAGCAUUUACUGGUUAGCUCAUCUCCUCUCCACUGAUGAAGGUACCAUGCUAUCUUUUUUAACUCAUAAGGGAAAAAAUUAUACAUGUAAAUAUACAAAUGUUAACAUAAUAUAUAUGCUUAUGUGCAUAUAUGAAAACUCUAAAAUACAAGCUUAACACACCAGCUUCUCACAGUGUCAACAAAUGUGCUGCUGAGCUGUAACUGUAGAGCUUACACAUUCCUUAGUAAGGUUACGAAAUACGAAAAUAAGCAUUAGGCACACUGUCCCCUCUUUUCCCUUUGCCAAAGCAACACAACUGCUCACCAAGCUGACGGACUCGUCCUCAAAAAGAAUGAUCAAUAAAGUUCCCCCUAACAAAGUUAUUCCCCAUGUUUGUACUCAGCCUUGCAAAAUGCGUGUUGCCACUAGGUGGAGACAAUUUGACAACAGGAAUGUCCGUAACUGAAAUAGUAGCCACAAAUUUUCUACAAAUAUACGCACAUGGUAAAAAGAGGAGGGAAAAAGUUCUGCUUCUAAAUUCUUGGGUGAACUAGGGCUAAUCACUUUAUCUGAGGAUCUGCUUUCCUUAUUUUUAAAUAAAAAUUUACAUUAAGUAGCAUCAAGAGCCCUCUUAGCUCUAAUAUUUUGUGUUUUGUGGAUCAAAAGCUUGCUUCAAGAUCCUUACCACUAUAAUGUCUAAAGAUGCUAUUCUUUACCUAAGAAGGUAUUCUACCUUUGGCAAUUUAUUUCAAUUUAACAUUUCAACCAAACACAACCAGUCAUUUCCUCCAAUCCUUUCUUUUCAAAUCAGGUCAAAAAGAAGCAUAUUUUGUAUUGUAUUUCACACAUCUAUCAUUCAAAGCCAAGGCUUUCUGCACUUUUUUGGUCCUGAAGAAAACUGCUGACAGCAUACUUCUCCAUGUCCAUCUGGCCUGCCUGCAUAUAUAUUUUUAAUAAGCUAGCUACGGAUUUUCCUCUGAGCUGGUGGUGUGCUUGGUGCUACAGGGUGUACCCUGGGAGGGUGAGGGUUUUAUCUGCUGUGGACUCUCUGCCACAGAACACAUGGCUGGCCCCCAAUAAAUAUCUGCAGACUUAGCGGCACAGACAGAUCGGCAUCUCUAUGACAGGGAGAUGUAAAAUAUAACUAAAGCAUAAAGCAAGGCUUAACGAUUUACAUAAGCACAUUAUUAAUGACACAGCUAAAAAGAGAAAUCUAGUAAGUACCGACUUGGAGUCCCAUAUGCCAGAACAGAUGUUAAUCUGAAAAGUGGUACACUGCGGCGGCUGUCAUCCUUUCCUGGGAAGACAAAUGCCCAUCAAGGGUAGAUUUCUGCCAGAAGCAGCAGAGGUGCUGAUGAACACACAUUAGCUUUAGCAUAUAACAGCGUAGAAAGUCACAGCAACAUUCCCUUAUGUCACCAAAAAUACAAAUACCAUCUCUGGCAAGGGCAUACUCUACUGAAAAGUCUGUGGCGAGGCAGUUCAUACAAAAAGAAAAAAAUUCAGAUUAAGAAAAGAAAGCUGAAAGCUGAUGCCUCCACAUUCUAACAGCAACUGGAAUAACCCUUUCAAAAAGCAUCCAGACAACUGAUUCCCACGGAUACAAAAAAAAUUAACAUUCCUUCCCCCAGUUAUCCCAGUCCUAGGAAAUAAUGCUAUUAAUAAUAAUAACAUUUACAGAGUAUCUACUACUUUACACAAAAUCUUGCUUUAUCUUAAUAACCCUAUAAAGUAGAUACUAUAAUUGCUCUCAUUUAAUAUAUAAGGAAAUCAAGACAAAGUAAGUAAACAACCAAGCAACUUCUUCAAAGUUCAGAAGGGUCAAAGGCAAAACUCAAACCCACAUCCGUUUCAUUAAGGCCCAUGCCCUUAACCACUCACUACACCCAACCACACUACUAUUAUUGCUAAUACAAUAAUAAUACCACCAGUAUGGUAGUAUCAACAGGAAAUUUCUCCCAUCAUUAAAAGUAACAAUUAUUAAUAUCAUAUCCAGUGACUAGUAAGGUAAAGUGAUGAGAGAAGCCACUAAUUUGCAUGUACGCUACAAUUACAGCUAUGUCAAGCUGUUUUAGAAGUUAACAACUGUUUGGAGUUUGUGGGGAGGCAAGGUUGCCUCCAUUUUUCAAUUCCUAUUACAGUAAGUACAGAUUUUACCAAGCAGUUUUAAGACAGCAGCUAAGAA